RNAcentral lists this non-coding RNA (27 nucleotides) under Mus musculus (house mouse). The record is from RNAcentral. Lineage: Eukaryota; Metazoa; Chordata; Mammalia; Rodentia; Muridae.
UCCCUUUGGCAGACAAAGGAUGCUGCA